RNAcentral lists this ribosomal RNA (467 nucleotides) under uncultured bacterium. RNAcentral's name for it is "bacterial SSU rRNA". It matches the Rfam family "Bacterial small subunit ribosomal RNA", at positions 19 to 502 of the family's 1533-position model. The record is from RNAcentral.
CUGGCUCAGAUUGAACGCUAGCGGGAUGCUUUACACAUGCAAGUCGAACGGCAGCACGAGAGAGCUUGCUCUCUUGGUGGCGAGUGGCGGACGGGUGAGUAAUAUAUCGGAACGUGCCCAGUAGCGGGGGAUAACUACUCGAAAGAGUGGCUAAUACCGCAUACGCCCUACGGGGAAAGGGGGGAUCGCAAGACCUCUCACUAUUGGAGCGGCCGAUAUCGGAUUAGCUAGUUGGUGGGGUAAAGGCUCACCAAGGCAACGAUCCGUAGCUGGUUUGAGAGGACGACCAGCCACACUGGGACUGAGACACGGCCCAGACUCCUACGGGAGGCAGCAGUGGGGAAUCUUAGACAAUGGGCGCAAGCCUGAUCUAGCCAUGCCGCGUGAUCGAUGAAGGCCUUAGGGUUGUAAAGAUCUUUCAGGUGGGAAGAUAAUGACGGUACCACCAGAAGAAGCCCCGGCUAACU